RNAcentral lists this long non-coding RNA (265 nucleotides) under Lathyrus oleraceus (garden pea). RNAcentral's name for it is "Pisum sativum (pea) long non-coding RNA (PSAT_LNC032478)". The record is from RNAcentral. Lineage: Eukaryota; Viridiplantae; Streptophyta; Magnoliopsida; Fabales; Fabaceae.
AAGAACCGCGUUUUCCAUGUUCCUUUUUCGCAUGAUAUAUCUUCUUAAAUUUUAUAUUAUACUUUUUCGAUCUCAUAAAAAAUAUCUCAUUUACAUUUUUUAUUUGUCUUAAAAUAAAUAUUCUUUUAGAAUAUCAAUACAACAUUUAUUAUUUUUUCUUAUUACUAUACUCUUAUUUUUUAACUUUCACUCUUUUCAACAACUGAAUUAACUAUAAUAAAUAAGAGUAUUUUAGUAAAUGAUACUAAUUUUAUCAUUAAAAUUA